This is a long non-coding RNA of Ochotona curzoniae (black-lipped pika), 99 nucleotides long. RefSeq lists it as uncharacterized. Lineage: Eukaryota; Metazoa; Chordata; Mammalia; Lagomorpha; Ochotonidae. The transcript has 3 exons. The record is from RefSeq and is a predicted model, not a curated record.
CCCCCAGAAUCUCCCUUCAGGGAAGAUUUUCUUGUUUUCUCGUCCCCUACACACAUCUCGAUAUCAUUCUUGUAAGUGGGAUAGGAGGACUUGCAAAUC